AUGAACGCUGGCGGCGUGCCUAAUACAUGCAAGUCGAGCGAACAGACGAGGAGCUUGCUCCUCUGACGUUAGCGGCGGACGGGUGAGUAACACGUGGAUAACCUACCUAUAAGACUGGGAUAACUUCGGGAAACCGGAGCUAAUACCGGAUAAUAUAUUUAACCGCAUGGUUCAAUAGUGAAAGACGGUUUUGCUGUCACUUAUAGAUGGAUCCGCGCCGCAUUAGCUAGUUGGUAAGGUAACGGCUUACCAAGGCAACGAUGCGUAGCCGACCUGAGAGGGUGAUCGGCCACACUGGAACUGAGACACGGUCCAGACUCCUACGGGAGGCAGCAGUAGGGAAUCUUCCGCAAUGGGCGAAAGCCUGACGGAGCAACGCCGCGUGAGUGAUGAAGGUCUUCGGAUCGUAAAACUCUGUUAUUAGGGAAGAACAAAUGUGUAAGUAACUAUGCACGUCUGGACGGUACCUAAUCAGAAAGCCACGGCUAACUACGU
RNAcentral lists this ribosomal RNA (495 nucleotides) under uncultured bacterium. RNAcentral's name for it is "partial 16S ribosomal RNA". It matches the Rfam family "Bacterial small subunit ribosomal RNA", at positions 29 to 506 of the family's 1533-position model. The record is from RNAcentral.